UGAUUAAGCCAUGCAAGUCGAGAGGGUUCGGCCCUCGGCGUACUGCUCAGUAACACGUGGAUAACCUGCCCUAAGGAAGGGGAUACCCCCGGGAAACUGGGGAUAAUACCCUAUAGGAUACCGGCGCUGGAAUGCCCGGUAUCCCAAAGUUCCGGCGCCUUAGGAUGGAUCUGCGGCCGAUUAGGUUGUUGUCGGGGUAAUGGCCCAACAAGCCGAUAAUCGGUACGGGUUGUGGGAGCAAGAGCCCGGAGUUGGAUUCUGAGACACGAAUCCAGGCCCUACGGGGCGCAGCAGGCGCGAAAACUUUACAAUGCGGGCAACCGUGAUAAGGGAACCUCGAGUGCCCGUACAUGCGGGCUGUCCAGGUGUCUAAAGCACACCUGAAGAAAGGGCCGGGCAAGACCGGUGCCAGCCGCCGCGGUAAUACCGGCGGCUCGAGUGGUGGCCACUUUUAUUGGGCUUAAAGCGUUCGUAGCUGGGUCGGUAAGUCUCUUGGGAAAUCUGGCAGCUUAACUGUCAGGCGUCUAAGAGAUACUGCUGAUCUUGGAACCGGGAGAGGUGAGGGGUACUUCGGGGGUAGGAGUGAAAUCCUGUAAUCCUCGAGGGACCACCUGUGGCGAAGGCGCCUCACCAGAACGGCUUCGACAGUGAGGGACGAAAGCUGGGGGAGCAAACCGGAUUAGAUACCCGGGUAGUCCCAGCCGUAAACGAUGUGCGUUAGGUGUAUCAGUGACCACGAGUCACUGAGGUGCCGAAGGGAAACCGUGAAACGUACCGCCUGGGAAGUACGGUCGCAAGGCUGAAACUUAAAGGAAUUGGCGGGGGAGCA
RNAcentral lists this ribosomal RNA (829 nucleotides) under uncultured archaeon. RNAcentral's name for it is "bacterial SSU rRNA". It matches the Rfam family "Archaeal small subunit ribosomal RNA", at positions 41 to 878 of the family's 1478-position model. The record is from RNAcentral.